This 643-nucleotide ribosomal RNA is filed under the name Pseudoalteromonas sp. AmSamW6. RNAcentral describes it as "bacterial SSU rRNA". It matches the Rfam family "Bacterial small subunit ribosomal RNA", at positions 78 to 724 of the family's 1533-position model. Lineage: Bacteria; Pseudomonadati; Pseudomonadota; Gammaproteobacteria; Alteromonadales; Pseudoalteromonadaceae. The record is from RNAcentral.
UUGCUAGAGAUGACGAGCGGCGGACGGGUGAGUAAUGCUUGGGAACAUGCCUUGAGGUGGGGGACAACCAUUGGAAACGAUGGCUAAUACCGCAUAAUGUCUACGGACCAAAGGGGGCUUCGGCUCUCGCCUUUAGAUUGGCCCAAGUGGGAUUAGCUAGUUGGUGAGGUAAAGGCUCACCAAGGCGACGAUCCCUAGCUGGUUUGAGAGGAUGAUCAGCCACACUGGAACUGAGACACGGUCCAGACUCCUACGGGAGGCAGCAGUGGGGAAUAUUGCACAAUGGGCGCAAGCCUGAUGCAGCCAUGCCGCGUGUGUGAAGAAGGCCUUCGGGUUGUAAAGCACUUUCAGUCAGGAGGAAAGGUUAGUAGUUAAUACCUGCUAGCUGUGACGUUACUGACAGAAGAAGCACCGGCUAACUCCGUGCCAGCAGCCGCGGUAAUACGGAGGGUGCGAGCGUUAAUCGGAAUUACUGGGCGUAAAGCGUACGCAGGCGGUUUGUUAAGCGAGAUGUGAAAGCCCCGGGCUUAACCUGGGAACUGCAUUUCGAACUGGCAAACUAGAGUGUGAUAGAGGGUGGUAGAAUUUCAGGUGUAGCGGUGAAAUGCGUAGAGAUCUGAAGGAAUACCGAUGGCGAAGGCAG